GUGGGGAAUCUUAGACAAUGGGCGCAAGCCUGAUCUAGCCAUGCCGCGUGAGCGAUGAAGGCCUUAGGGUUGUAAAGCUCUUUCAGCUGGGAAGAUAAUGACGGUACCAGCAGAAGAAGCCCCGGCUAACUCCGUGCCAGCAGCCGCGGUAAUACGGAGGGGGCUAGCGUUGUUCGGAAUUACUGGGCGUAAAGCGCACGUAGGCGGAUCAGAAAGUCAGAGGUGAAAUCCCAGGGCUCAACCUUGGAACUGCCUUUGAAACUCCUGAUCUUGAGGUCGAGAGAGGUGAGUGGAAUUCCGAGUGUAGAGGUGAAAUUCGUAGAUAUUCGGAGGAACACCAGUGGCGAAGGCGGCUCACUGGCUCGAUACUGACGCUGAGGUGCGAAAGCGUGGGGAGCAAACAGGAUUAGAAACCUGGGUAGUCC
This 425-nucleotide ribosomal RNA is filed under the name uncultured bacterium. RNAcentral's name for it is "partial 16S ribosomal RNA". It matches the Rfam family "Bacterial small subunit ribosomal RNA", at positions 354 to 796 of the family's 1533-position model. The record is from RNAcentral.